CACUCCUACGGGAGGCAGCAGUGGGGAAUAUUGCACAAUGGGCGCAAGCCUGAUGCAGCCAUGCCGCGUGUAUGAAGAAGGCCUUCGGGUUGUAAAGUACUUUCAGCGGGGAGGAAGGCGAUAAGGUUAAUAACCUUGUUGAUUGACGUUACCCGCAGAAGAAGCACCGGCUAACUCCGUGCCAGCAGCCGCGGUAAUACGGAGGGUGCAAGCGUUAAUCGGAAUUACUGGGCGUAAAGCGCACGCAGGCGGUCUGUCAAGUCGGAUGUGAAAUCCCCGGGCUCAACCUGGGAACUGCAUUCGAAACUGGCAGGCUAGAGUCUUGUAGAGGGGGGUAGAAUUCCAGGUGUAGCGGUGAAAUGCGUAGAGAUCUGGAGGAAUACCGGUGGCGAAGGCGGCCCCCUGGACAAAGACUGACGCUCAGGUGCGAAAGCGUGGGGAGCAAACAGGAUUAGAUACCCCUGUAGUCCCAUG
This 474-nucleotide ribosomal RNA is filed under the name uncultured organism. Its description in RNAcentral is "partial 16S ribosomal RNA". It matches the Rfam family "Bacterial small subunit ribosomal RNA", at positions 334 to 799 of the family's 1533-position model. The record is from RNAcentral.